RNAcentral lists this ribosomal RNA (508 nucleotides) under uncultured bacterium. RNAcentral's name for it is "partial 16S ribosomal RNA". It matches the Rfam family "Bacterial small subunit ribosomal RNA", at positions 28 to 523 of the family's 1533-position model. The record is from RNAcentral.
GAUGAACGCUAGCUACAGGCUUAACACAUGCAAGUCGAGGGGAAACGAUAGAGAAAGCUUGCUUUUUCUAGGCGUCGACCGGCGCACGGGUGAGUAACGCGUAUCCAACCUGCCCAUCACUUGGGGAUAACCUUGCGAAAGUAAGACUAAUACCCAAUGACGUCUCUAGAAGACAUCUGAAAGGGAUUAAAGAUUUAUCGGUGAUGGAUGGGGAUGCGUCUGAUUAGCUUGUUGGCGGGGUAACGGCCCACCAAGGCGACGAUCAGUAGGGGUUCUGAGAGGACGGUCACCCACAUUGGAACUGAGACACGGUCCAAACGCCUACGGGAGGCAGCAGUGAGGAAGAUUGGUCAAUGGACGAGAGUCUGAACCAGCCAAGUAGCGUGCAGGAUGACGGCCCUAUGGGUUGUAAACUGCUUUUAUAAGGGAAUAAAGUGAGAGUCGUGACUCUUUUUGCAUGUACCUUAUGAAUAAGGACCGGCUAAUUCCGUGCCAGCCGCCGCAGUAA